GGAGAGAUGGCAGAGUGGUCGAAUGCGGCGGUCUUGAAAACCGUUGUACCGCAAGGUACCGGGGGUUCGAAUCCCUCUCUCUCCGCCA
RNAcentral lists this transfer RNA (88 nucleotides) under Flavobacteriales bacterium. RNAcentral's name for it is "tRNA-Ser". It matches the Rfam family "tRNA". Rfam says of the family: Transfer RNA (tRNA) molecules are approximately 80 nucleotides in length. Their secondary structure includes four short double-helical elements and three loops (D, anti-codon, and T loops). Further hydrogen bonds mediate the characteristic L-shaped molecular structure. tRNAs have two regions of fundamental functional importance: the anti-codon, which is responsible for specific mRNA codon recognition, and the 3' end, to which the tRNAs corresponding amino acid is attached (by aminoacyl-tRNA synthetases). tRNAs cope with the degeneracy of the genetic code in two manners: having more than one tRNA (with a specific anti-codon) for a particular amino acid; and 'wobble' base-pairing, i.e. permitting non-standard base-pairing at the 3rd anti-codon position. Lineage: Bacteria; Pseudomonadati; Bacteroidota; Flavobacteriia; Flavobacteriales. The record is from RNAcentral. RNAcentral also lists the same sequence under 1 other name.